Molecule: ribosomal RNA, 1962 nt
Filed under: human gut metagenome
Description: bacterial LSU rRNA
Rfam family: Bacterial large subunit ribosomal RNA
Source: RNAcentral
UCAAGUUAUUAAGGGUGCAGGGCGAAUGCCUUGGCACUAGGAGCCGAUGAAGGACGUGAUAAGCUGCGAUAAGCUUCGGGGAGUUGCACGUAAACUUUGAUCCGAAGAUUUCCGAAUGAGGAAACUCACUUAGAGUAAUGUCUAAGUAUCGUAUGAUGAAUACAUAGUCAUGCGAGGGGAACCCGGAGAACUGAAACAUCUAAGUACCCGGAGGAAGAGAAAGAAAUUCGAUUCCGUAAGUAGCGGCGAGCGAACGCGGAACAGGCCAAACCAGUGAAGUUUUCUUCGCUGGGGUUGCGGACAUAUCAUAACGAAGAGGUAUCGUAGAAGAAGAGAGUUGGAAAGCUCCGCCACAGAUGGUAACAGCCCAGUAUUUUAAACGAGAAGACUUUAGAUAUGAUCCAGAGUACCACGGGACACGUGAAACCCUGUGGGAAGCAGGAGGGACCAUCCUCCAAGCCUAAAUACUACCUAGUGACCGAUAGCGUAUAGUACCGUGAGGGAAAGGUGAAAAGAACCCCGGGAGGGGAGUGAAAGAGAACCUGAAACCCUGCACUUACAAGCUGUAGGAGCACAUUUCUUGUGUGACUGCGUACUUUUUGUAGAACGGGCCAACGAGUUACGUUGUGUAGCAAGGUUAAGCACUUAAGGUGUGGAGCCGUAGCGAAAGCGAGUCUUAAAUGGGCGUCCAGUUACCCGACGUAGACCCGAAACCAGGCGACCUAUCCAUGAGCAGGUUGAAGCGAAAGUAAAAUUUCGUGGAGGACCGAACCCACGUACGUUGAAAAGUGCGGGGAUGACUUGUGGAUAGCGGUGAAAUUCCAAUCGAGCCUGGAGAUAGCUGGUUCUCCCCGAAAUAGCUUUAGGGCUAGCCUCAAGAUUAGAGAAGCGGAGGUAGAGCACUGAAUGUCCUAGGGGGUAUUGCACUUACCGAAGACUAUCAAACUCCGAAUGCCGUAUUCUUUUGCUUGGGAGUCAGACUAUGGGUGAUAAGAUUCAUAGUCAAGAGGGCAACAGCCCAGAUCGUCAGCUAAGGUCCCUAAAUGUAAGUUAAGUGGUAAAGGAUGUGGAAUUGCACAGACAACCAGGAUGUUGGCUUAGAAGCAGCCACUCAUUUAAAGAGUGCGUAAUAGCUCACUGGUCGAGUGAUUCUGCGCCGAAAAUUUCCGGGGCUAAAACUUACUACCGAAGCUACGGCAUCAUUAUGAUGGGUAGGGGAGCUUUCUAUACGGGUUGAAGCAUGACCGUAAGGACAUGUGGACUGUAUAGAAGUGAGAAUGUUGGCAUGAGUAGCGAGAUGUGGGUGAGAAUCCCACAGGCCGUAAACCCAAGGUUUCCAGGGGAAGGUUCGUCCGCCCUGGGUUAGUCAGGACCUAAGCCGAGGCCGAAAGGCGUAGGUGAUGGACAACAGGUUGAUAUUCCUGUACCACCAAUAACCGUUUGAGAAAUGGGAUGACACAGUAGGAUAAGCUAACCGCACUGUUGGUUAUGUGCGGGCAAGUAUUGAGGCAGUUCCGAUAGGCAAAUCCGUCGGAAUAAUGCUGGGGUACGAUGCGGAGCGAAAUUAAGUAGCGAAGUAGCUGAUUUCACACUGUCGAGAAAAGUCUCUAUCGAGGUUAAAGGUGCCUGUACCGCAAACCGACACAGGUGGGUGAGGAGAGUAUCCUAAGGCCAGCGAGAGAACUGUUGUUAAGGAACUCGGCAAAAUGACCCCGUAACUUAGGGAGAAGGGGUGCCUUCGAAAGAAGGCCGCAGAGAAUAGGCCCAAGCGACUGUUUACCAAAAACAUAGGUUUCUGCUAAGUCGCAAGACGAUGUAUAGGAGCUGACGCCUGCCCGGUGCUGGAAGGUUAAGGGGAUCUGUUAGAGCAAUCGAAGCAGUGAACUUAAGCCCCAGUAAACGGCGGCCGUAACUAUAACGGUCCUAAGGUAGCGAAAUUCCUUGUCGGGUAAGUUCCGACCC